Molecule: non-coding RNA, 688 nt
Organism: Pelobates cultripes (western spadefoot toad)
Lineage: Eukaryota; Metazoa; Chordata; Amphibia; Anura; Pelobatidae
Source: the annotation of a GenBank genome assembly
GUCUAAAUGAGUCUCAUCGUCCGAGGACGCUGGGUAGGCUGGCCGUGGUGGUAGGGCCUGUUGUGAGGGGGGAGUUGACAGCAUAUAGCUAAUGUCCCGUUGCUGUUUCGGGGUUUGUAUAGGCAUUUUCUGUGUCUUGCGCCCCAUCUCACCUUCCUCUCGGAGGCCCAUGUAUUCCUCUGGAUCGUCCGGUAAGGUCUCUAGGCAGGCUGCCCACACGGUAGGCCUUAGCGCCUCGGGUUCGGGUUUUUGCGCCCGGUGUGGCAAAAAAGGGUAUCUGCGGGUUCGGCAGUUGAUGCUGCAGCUUUUCCCUUUGUUUCCAGCCCAUGUCUGUGCAGGAUGCUCUUGGAUUUUGACAGAUUGGGUUUCUCUAUGUCGGAGCUCAGAUCAAUGGCGUCCGCUCCGGUGCGGUGACAAGCCCUGCCCCUCGUGUUUAGUAUGUUAACAUGUUCCUGGCAACUUUAAAUUAUUGGGCUACCCUUCAAGAAGUAAAAUAUCAACUGGAACUUACUUCUCACCCAGAGGUGUCCGAGUCUGGCAGUGGCCACCACUAUACCUUACUCUAAGAUAAUCGCUUGGAUGAUCUCAGGCUAAUCCAAUGCUUCACUACAGAGAAGCAUUAAGAGCCCUACUACCCAUGGGUGGAAAUUGCAGCGCUGCGCUAACAGUAUUCUAACACUUCUCCAUG